UACGAAGGGGGCGAGCGUUGUUCGGAUUUACUGGGCGUAAAGGGCGCGCAGGCGGCUCAUUUUGUCAGGCGUGAAAGCCCCGGGCUUAACCUGGGAACUGCGUUUGAUACGGAUGGGCUAGAGUUCGGGAGAGGAGAGUGGAAUUCCCAGUGUAGAGGUGAAAUUCGUAGAUAUUGGGAAGAACACCGGUGGCGAAGGCGGCUCUCUGGACCGAGACUGACGCUGAGGAGCGAAAGCGUGGGGAGCAAACAGG
Molecule: ribosomal RNA, 253 nt
Filed under: uncultured bacterium
Lineage: Bacteria
Description: partial 16S ribosomal RNA
Rfam family: Bacterial small subunit ribosomal RNA
Source: RNAcentral